CGUCGCCGCGGUAAUACGAAGGGUGCAAGCGUUAAUCGGAAUUACUGGGCGUAAAGCGUGCGUAGGCGGUUUGUUAAGUCUGCUGUGAAAUCCCCGGGCUCAACCUGGGAAUGGCAGUGGAUACUGGCAAGCUAGAGUGUGUCAGAGGAUGGUGGAAUUCCCGGUGUAGCGGUGAAAUGCGUAGAGAUCGGGAGGAACAUCAGUGGCGAAGGCGGCCAUCUGGGACAACACUGACGCUGAGGCACGAAAGCGUGGGGAGCAAACAGGAUUAGAUACCCGCGUAGUCCCUGUCUCUUAUACA
RNAcentral lists this ribosomal RNA (301 nucleotides) under uncultured bacterium. RNAcentral's name for it is "partial 16S ribosomal RNA". It matches the Rfam family "Bacterial small subunit ribosomal RNA", at positions 510 to 808 of the family's 1533-position model. The record is from RNAcentral.